RNAcentral lists this unclassified non-coding RNA (541 nucleotides) under Hevea brasiliensis (rubber tree). The record is from RNAcentral. Lineage: Eukaryota; Viridiplantae; Streptophyta; Magnoliopsida; Malpighiales; Euphorbiaceae.
GACUCACUGUGGAUGGAAUUCGAGUAUGGAGAGUUUGGCUUCGGGGGUUCCUGUCGUGGCGUGUCCUCUUUGGAUCGAUCAAUUAAGUAAUGCGAAGCUUAUUCAAGAUGUUUGGAAGACGGGAGUUAGAGUGAACGCCAACGAUGAAGGUGUUAUCGAGAGGAAUGAGUUCGCGAGGUGUAUGGAGAUUGUGGUGGGAGAUGGGGAAAAAGGGGAUGAAAUAAGAAAAAAUGCUAAGAAAUGGAGGGAUUUAGCUAAGGAUGCUAUGAAAGAAAAUGGUUCAUCUAAUGUCAAUCUCAAGGCUUACGUUAAUGAGAUUUUGCUUGGGGAAUAAAUCAUUUGUAAGGCCAAUUUACGUUACUCAGAGUCUCCAAAAAUGUUGAUGCAUCCGUUUGGCCAUCUUGGACAUCCCACGACUAUUUCACCAACUCAGGUAUCAAGUGAUUCUUCCCACCAAGGCAUUUGAUAUCAAGUGAUACAGUCGAUUUUUAUAAAUAAAUAGUUACAUGUUUGGAAUAAAAAUAAUAAACCAUGACAUGUU